GCUUUGUUCCAGAGGCCAGGGGAAGCUCUGGAGGGAAGCAAUCUCCAAGUGUGGAGGGAUCUUUCAUUGAGACAAAACAACAAAAGUCAUAUAUCAGGCAACAGUUUCCAGUUUUAGUUCAAACACAGAGCUGAUUGACCUUGAGAUGAAGCAUCUAAAUACCGAACACUGAGCACCGGAAGUGUCAUGCGAGGUUAGGGGACUUUCAUGUCACAACACAGUCAGACAUAUCAGGGACAAGCCUAUUGCAUGAAAGAACACAGAACUAAGGCCAGGUCUCAGAUGACAUCUCUCCUUCAAAGCCAGUACCAACAGUCCUACAGCUAUUAACCCUACUCUGCUCCUGCACUACCAAACCAGUGGGUGAAAAAAGAAUAAACUUCAUUCCUCUGAAGACUCAGCAUUUUAUUAAUCACUCAGAAAAGAUUGUUUCCUAGGCAGAGAUCUGAUCGGCUGUUUUAAUAAUACCCAGUGUUCUGAGGGACGGCUGCUCCUUGUGAAAGACUGCUGUAACUUCAGGCACAUGUGACAAAACCUGGGUGAAUUAUUAGACCAUUUCAUGCUGGUUUGCAGAGUGAUUAAAACAAGUGGCCUUGAAUGAUAGCAUAUGUUAUAAAGAGAUGGGC
Molecule: long non-coding RNA, 626 nt
Filed under: Fukomys damarensis (Damara mole-rat)
Lineage: Eukaryota; Metazoa; Chordata; Mammalia; Rodentia; Bathyergidae
Description: lncRNA (ENSFDAG00000033476.1)
Source: RNAcentral